AACGAACGCUGGCGGCAGGCCUAACACAUGCAAGUCGAACGAGGACUUCCGGGGUCGCGUCGCGCACGGGUGCGAAACGUGUGGGCAUGUGCUUUUAGUCGCGGUAGAACAGUGAGAAAUGACUUCAAAUAGCGGGAGACCACGUUAAGUCCAAAGAUUCAGCGCCUGAGGAGGAGCCGGCGUAGGAUUAGGUAGUUGGUGUGGUAACGGCCCACCAAGCCGACGAUUCAUAGCUGGUUUGAGAGGAUGAUCAGCCACACUGGGACUGAGACACGGACCAGACUCCUACGGGAGGCAGCAGUGGGGAAUCGUAGACAAGGGGGGAAACCCUGAUCGAGCCAUGCCGCGUGAGCGAUGAAGGCCUUAGGGUUGUAAAGCUCUUUCAGCUGGGAAGAUAAUGACGGUACCAGCAGAAGAAGCCCCGGCUAACUCCGUG
RNAcentral lists this ribosomal RNA (436 nucleotides) under uncultured bacterium. RNAcentral describes it as "partial 16S ribosomal RNA". It matches the Rfam family "Bacterial small subunit ribosomal RNA", at positions 29 to 507 of the family's 1533-position model. The record is from RNAcentral.